CAGCUCAAAUUUGAAAUCUGGCCCUUUCGGGGUCCGAGUUGUAAUUUGUAGAGAGUGCUUCGGGGGAGAUGGCGGUCUAAGUCCAUUGGAACAUGGUGUCAGAGAGGGUGAGAAUCCCGUACGUGACCGCGGAUCGAACCCGUGUGAAGCCUCUUCGACGAGUCGAGUUGUUUGGGAAUGCAGCUCAAAAUGGGUGGUAAAUUUCAUCUAAAGCUAAAUACUGGCUGGAGACCGAUAGCGCACAAGUAGAGUGAUCGAAAGAUGAAAAGCACUUUGGAAAGAGAGUUAAACAGUACGUGAAAUUGUUGAAAGGGAAGCGCUGGCAACCAGACCUGCCCGUGGGCGAUCAACCGCUGUUCUCAGCGGUGCACUCGUUCUGCGAUCAGGCCAGCAUCGGUUUCGGCGGUCGGAUAAAGGCCUUGGGAAUGUAGCUUCCUUUCGGGGGAGUCUUAUAGCCCUGGUGCAAUGCGGCCAGCCGGGACCGAGGACCGCGCUUCGGCUAGGAUGCUGGCGUAAUGGUUGUCAGCGACC
This 531-nucleotide ribosomal RNA is filed under the name Parmotrema hypotropum. RNAcentral describes it as "eukaryotic LSU rRNA". It matches the Rfam family "Eukaryotic large subunit ribosomal RNA", at positions 104 to 649 of the family's 3401-position model. The record is from RNAcentral. Lineage: Eukaryota; Fungi; Ascomycota; Lecanoromycetes; Lecanorales; Parmeliaceae.